AUCCAGUGACGAGUCCCAAAUAGGACGAAAUGCGCAUUGUCAUGGAU
Molecule: non-coding RNA, 47 nt
Filed under: Trichobilharzia regenti
Lineage: Eukaryota; Metazoa; Platyhelminthes; Trematoda; Strigeidida; Schistosomatidae
Source: RNAcentral